GCCAGAGUGGUGUAGUGGUUUGAGUAUUGGACUAUGACUCUGGAAACUAGGGUUCAAAUCCUGGCUUGGCCA
This is a non-coding RNA of Phrynosoma platyrhinos (Desert horned lizard), 72 nucleotides long. Lineage: Eukaryota; Metazoa; Chordata; Lepidosauria; Squamata; Phrynosomatidae. The record is from the annotation of a GenBank genome assembly.